GAUGAAGAACGCAGCGAAAUGCGAUACGUAAUGUGAAUUGCAGAAUUCAGUGAAUCAUCGAGUCUUUGAACGCACAUUGCGCCCCCUGGUAUUCCGGGGGGCAUGCCUGUCCGAGCGUCAUUGCUGCCCUCAAGCACGGCUUGUGUGUUGGGCCUCCGUCCUCCUCCCGGGGGACGGGCCCGAAAGGCAGCGGCGGCACCGCGUCCGGUCCUCGAGCGUAUGGGGCUUUGUCACCCGCUCUGUAGGCCCGGCCGGCGCUUGCCGAUCAACCAAAUUUUUAUCCAGGUUGACCUCGGAUCAGGUAGGGAUACCCGCUGAACUUAAGCAUAUCAAUAAGCGGAGGA
This 344-nucleotide unclassified non-coding RNA is filed under the name soil metagenome. Its description in RNAcentral is "partial contains 5.8S ribosomal RNA, internal transcribed spacer 2, and large subunit ribosomal RNA". The stretch from base 1 to 120 matches the Rfam family "5.8S ribosomal RNA", at positions 35 to 154 of the family's 154-position model. The record is from RNAcentral.